Molecule: ribosomal RNA, 580 nt
Filed under: uncultured bacterium
Lineage: Bacteria
Description: bacterial SSU rRNA
Rfam family: Bacterial small subunit ribosomal RNA
Source: RNAcentral
CCUACGGGAGGCAGCAGUAAGGAAUAUUGGACAAUGGACGCAAGUCUGAUCCAGCCAUGCCGCGUGAAGGAUUAAGGCCCUCUGGGUUGUAAACUUCUUUUAUAGGGGACGAAAAAAGGGCUUUCUAGCUCGACUGACGGUACCCUAUGAAUAAGCACCGGCUAACUCCGUGCCAGCAGCCGCGGUAAUACGGAGGGUGCAAGCGUUAUCCGGAUUCACUGGGUUUAAAGGGUGCGUAGGCGGGCAGUUAAGUCAGUGGUGAAAUCUUCGAGCUCAACUCGGAAACUGCCAUUGAUACUAUCUGUCUUGAAUAUUGUGGAGGUGAGCGGAAUAUGUCAUGUAGCGGUGAAAUGCUUAGAUAUGACAUAGAACACCAAUUGCGUAGGCAGCUCGCUACACAAAUAUUGACGCUGAGGCACGAAAGCGUGGGGAUCAAACAGGAUUAGAUACCCUGUAGUCCACGCCCUAAACUAUGAUUACUCGACAUAUGCGAUACACUGUAUGUGUCUGAGCGAAAGCAUUAAGUAAUCCACCUGGGAAGUACGACCGCAAAGGUUGAAACUCAAAGGAAUUUAGACGG